CCUACGGGCGGCAGCAGUGAGGAAUAUUGGUCAAUGGGCGAGAGCCUGAACCAGCCAAGUCGCGUGAAGGAUGAAGGAUCUAUGGUUUGUAAACUUCUUUUAUAUGGGAAUAAAGUGAGGAACGUGUUCCUUUUUGUAUGUACCAUAUGAAUAAGCAUCGGCUAACUCCGUGCCAGCAGCCGCGGUAAUACGGAGGAUGCGAGCGUUAUCCGGAUUUAUUGGGUUUAAAGGGUGCGUAGGCGGACAGUCAAGUCAGCGGUAAAAAUGCGGUGCUCAACGCCGUACAGCCGUUGAAACUGGCAGUCUUGAGUGGGCGAGAAGUAUGCGGAAUGCGUGGUGUAGCGGU
RNAcentral lists this ribosomal RNA (346 nucleotides) under uncultured bacterium. Its description in RNAcentral is "partial 16S ribosomal RNA". It matches the Rfam family "Bacterial small subunit ribosomal RNA", at positions 338 to 682 of the family's 1533-position model. The record is from RNAcentral.